Molecule: ribosomal RNA, 687 nt
Filed under: uncultured bacterium
Lineage: Bacteria
Description: bacterial SSU rRNA
Rfam family: Bacterial small subunit ribosomal RNA
Source: RNAcentral
GUCGAACGGAGAUUAUACGCAGAGGCGAUUUCGGUCAAAUCAUGUAAAAUCUUAGUGGCGGACGGGUGAGUAACGCGUGGGUAACCUGCCUUACACUGGGGGAUAACACUUAGAAAUAGGUGCUAAUACCGCAUAAGCGCACGAAGCCGCAUGGAUUUGUGUGAAAAACUCCGGUGGUGUAAGAUGGACCCGCGUCUGAUUAGCUUGUUGGCGGGGUAACGGCCCACCAAGGCGACGAUCAGUAGCCGGCCUGAGAGGGUGGACGGCCACAUUGGGACUGAGACACGGCCCAAACUCCUACGGGAGGCAGCAGUGGGGGAUAUUGGACAAUGGGGGGAACCCUGAUCCAGCGACGCCGCGUGAGUGAAGAAGUAUUUCGGUAUGUAAAGCUCUGUCAGCAGGGAAGAAAGAAAUGACGGUACCUGACCAAGAAGCCCCGGCUAACUACGUGCCAGCAGCCGCGGUAAUACGUAGGGGGCAAGCGUUAUCCGGAAUUACUGGGUGUAAAGGGAGCGUAGACGGUUAAGUAAGUCUGGAGUGAAAGGCCGGGGCCCAACCCCGGGACUGCUCUGGAAACUAUUGAACUUGAGUGCAGGAGAGGUAAGCGGAAUUCCUAGUGUAGCGGUGAAAUGCGUAGAUAUUAGGAGGAACACCAGUGGCGAAGGCGGCUUACUGGACUGUAACUGA